UACGGGAGGCAGCAGUGGGGAAUAUUGCACAAUGGGCGAAAGCCUGAUGCAGCUAUGCCGCGUGUAUGAAGAAGGCCUUAGGGUUGUAAAGUACUUUCAUCGGGGAGGAAAAACAAAACUAAUAAUUUUAUUUCUUGACGUUACCCGAAAAAGAAGCACCGGCUAACUCCGUGCCAGCAGCCGCGGUAAUACGGAGGGUGCUAGCGUUAAUCAGAAUUACUGGGCGUAAAGAGCACGUAGGUGGUUUUUUUAAAGUCAGAUGUGAAAUCCCUGGGCUUAACCUGGAACUGCAUUUUGAAACUGAAAUACUAGAGUAUCGUAGAGGGAGGUAGAAUUCUAGGUGUAGCGGUGAAAUGCGUAGAUAUCUGGAGGAAUACCUGUGGCGAAAGCGGCCUCUAAACGAAUACUGACACUGAGGUGCGAAAGCGUGGGGAGCAAACAGGGAUUAGGAU
Molecule: ribosomal RNA, 452 nt
Filed under: uncultured bacterium
Lineage: Bacteria
Description: bacterial SSU rRNA
Rfam family: Bacterial small subunit ribosomal RNA
Source: RNAcentral